GAUGAACGCUGGCGGCGUGCUUAACACAUGCAAGUCGAACGGAAAGGCCGAAGCUUGCUUCGGUACUCGAGUGGCGAACGGGUGAGUAACACGUGGGUGAUCUGCCCUGUACUUCGGGAUAAGCUUGGGAAACUGGGUCUAAUACCGGAUAUGACGAUCUCUUGGAUGGGGUUGUGGAAAGCUUUUGCGGUUUGGGAUGAGCUCGCGGCCUAUCAGCUUGUUGGUGGGGUAAUGGCCUACCAAGGCGUCGACGGGUAGCCGGCCUGAGAGGGUGUACGGCCACAUUGGGACUGAGAUACGGCCCAGACUCCUACGGGAGGCAGCAGUGGGGAAUAUUGCACAAUGGGCGCAAGCCUGAUGCAGCGACGCCGCGUGGGGGAUGACGGCCUUCGGGUUGUAAACUCCUUUCGCAAUCGACGAAGCCUUUUGGUGACGGUAGGUUGAGAAGAAGCACCGGCUAACUACGUG
RNAcentral lists this ribosomal RNA (468 nucleotides) under uncultured bacterium. Its description in RNAcentral is "partial 16S ribosomal RNA". It matches the Rfam family "Bacterial small subunit ribosomal RNA", at positions 28 to 507 of the family's 1533-position model. The record is from RNAcentral.